RNAcentral lists this ribosomal RNA (254 nucleotides) under uncultured bacterium. RNAcentral's name for it is "partial 16S ribosomal RNA". It matches the Rfam family "Bacterial small subunit ribosomal RNA", at positions 524 to 776 of the family's 1533-position model. The record is from RNAcentral.
UACGGAGGGUGCGAGCGUUGUUCGGAAUCACUGGGCGUAAAGGGAGCGUAGGCGGCGUGGUAAGUCAGAUGUGAAAUCCCGGGGCUCAACCCCCGGAACUGCAUCCGAUACUGCCAUGCUAGAGGAUUGGAGAGGUAGCUGGAAUUCUUGGUGUAGCAGUGAAAUGCGUAGAGAUCAAGAGGAACACUCGUGGCGAAAGCGAGCUACUGGACAAUUCCUGACGCUGAGGCUCGAAGGCUAGGGUAGCGAAAGGG